Long non-coding RNA from Struthio camelus australis, 1989 nucleotides. Lineage: Eukaryota; Metazoa; Chordata; Aves; Struthioniformes; Struthionidae. The record is from Ensembl.
GAUAUCAUUGCUUGGAGACUUUUUACCUAAUGGGCACGUAUGACAACCACAGUAACACAACUAGCCUAACUUCAGGCAGGAGCAGCCUGAUCACCUAUCAUUUUCCGAGUUAAUGACUAUUUGAGAGACUGAGAUGUUUUAAAGAUAUAAGUGUGAUUUGGAGAAUGUGCAAUUUAAUUAAAUUGAUAAAGUUGUUCAUCUGAGAAAAUGGCAGAGCAGAAAGUAAAUUGAUUUGCAGUACAGGAAGUUAACCAAGUCACCGGAUUUCCCAUAGACGGUCUAAAGUACUAGUAUAAUUGCAGAGGAAGCAGAUGUUGAGGAGACAAGCGAGGCUGCAAAGGUCUCCCCUUUCAAAGGGAGCAAGAGACAGAACUCAGGUUGAAGCAGUGGAAAGCAUGAAGUGCUGGACAGACUUUGAACUGCCACAGAAAUGAAAAAUAACAGCUGAGCAACAUCUUGGGUUUGCUAAUUACACCAGAGAAAGUGAGUGGAAGAUUGAGUGGAAGAUUGAGUGUACAAGAGUGUGUUAAGUUUCAAGUUGUGCUGUUCAACGAUGAUGCACUGUGGAAAAAGACACAUUUGUGCUGUUGUUGCAUGUCUCCUUAUAUUUGCAAGCAUUUUAAUCUGCUCCAGGAAAGGUACUCAGCUACAGAACAUUAUAACUAGAAAAAUCUUCCCCCAGGCAAGAACUGUCAGUCCAGAAAGUCAGCUUUGUAGAGGAAAACCUGCUCAAAAUGUAAUAACACCGUUAAAAGAUAACAGAACGUUUAUCAUUGCCCCGUACUUUGAUGACAGAGAAAGCAAAGUCACCCGUGUGAUUGGGAUUGUUCACCAUGAAGAUGUAAAAGAACUUUACUGCUGGUUCUGCUGUCAGCCUCAGGGAAAGAUAUAUGUGUCAAAAUCACAAAUUGAGGUUCACUCAGAUAGAUUUGGAUUCCCUUAUGGUGCAGCAGACAUAGUUUGCUUGGAACCCCAAAACUGCGAUCCGACGCAUGUAUCGGUUCAUUGGUCCCCCCAUGGAAAUAUUGAUCAGCUGCCAAGGUUUGAAAUUAAAAACCGCAAGGCCGAGACCUUUUCUGUUGACUUCACUGUAUGCAUCUCUGCCAUGUUUGGAAAUUACAACAAUGUCUUACAGUUUAUACAGAGUAUGGAGAUGUAUAAGAUUCUUGGGGUACAGAAAGUGGUGGUCUAUAAGAACAGCUGCAGCCAGCUGAUGGAGAAAGUCUUGAAGUUCUAUGUGGAAGAAGGGACCGUAGAAAUAAUUCCCUGGCCAAUAAAUUCACACCUCAAGGUUUCUUCUAAAUGGCACUUUUCUAUGGAUCCCAAAGAUAUUGGCUACUAUGGCCAAAUCACAGCACUAAAUGACUGUGUAUAUCGUAACAUGCAGAGGAGCAAGUUUGUGGUUCUUAAUGAUGCUGAUGAAAUAAUUCUUCCCCUUAAGCACCCAGACUGGAAAACAAUGAUGAGCAGUCUUCAGGAACAAAACCCAGGGACUGGCAUUUUCCUCUUUGAGAAUCAUAUCUUCCCUGAAACCGUAUCUACCCAUAUGUUCAACAUUUCAUCCUGGAAUACCGUGCCAGGCUCAUCUAUUGCUCGUAGGAGGCAAAGCUCAAAUGGCAAUCACCAUUAGAAAAGAUCUCACCAAGAAUGUUCAUAGAACUCAAGAGUUACAAACUGGACGUUAUCGCAUCAAUGCCUGUGUUAGCAGUUGCUGUCUCUAAGAGCGAAAGCUUGGACAUUAAAACUUAUAAGGUAAAAGUACUGGUGUGAAUGAUGGGCUUGUGUGAUCAUGUAAUUAUCAGAGUUUCUUUUACUAUUUUUCAUUGAUUUGCUGUUUGAAAAUAUAAUGGCUCCUUUGUGUGUCUCUAUUCUGCAUGAAGUUAAUGAGCUGAGCAGACAACGCGGCGGUCCAGCCCGGGGCCCCCGCAGACAGCGGACGCUCGCGGCUCUCCGCGGCUCGGUGCCGGGGGCGGUGCCGGCGGAGCCGCG